Molecule: ribosomal RNA, 393 nt
Filed under: uncultured bacterium
Lineage: Bacteria
Description: partial 16S ribosomal RNA
Rfam family: Bacterial small subunit ribosomal RNA
Source: RNAcentral
AUACGUAGGUGACAAGCGUUAUCCGGAUUUACUGGGCGUAAAGGGCGUGUAGGCGGUCUUGCGAGUCAGAAGUGAAAUUCCUGAGCUCAACUCGGGCGCUGCUUCUGAAACUGCAGGACUUGAGUGCUGGAGGGGAUAGCGGAAUUCCUAGUGGAGCGGUAAAAUGCGCAGAUAUUAGGAAGAACUCCGAUUGCGAAGGCAGUCCGCUGGGGCACGUCUGACGCUGAUGCUCGAAGGUGCGGGAAUCAAACAGGAUUAGAUACCCUGGUAGUCCGCACGGUAAACGAUGAUUACCCGCUGUCGGCGGCAGACAGUCGGCGGCCAAGCGAAAGCGAUAAGUAAUCCACCUGGGGAGUACGCCGGCAACGGUGAAACUCAAAUGAAUUGACGGGG